ACCUGGCGGCAGCUUACACAUGCAAGUCGAACGGUAGCAGGAAGAAGCUUGCUUCUUUGCUGACGAGUGGCGGACGGGUGAGUAAUGCUUGGGAAUCUGGCUUAUGGAGGGGGAUAACUACUGGAAACGGUAGCUAAUACCGCGUAAUGUCUUAGGACUAAAGGGUGGGACCGUAAGGCCACCUGCCAUAAGAUGAGCCCAAGUGGGAUUAGGUAGUUGGUGAGGUAAAGGCUCACCAAGCCCGCGAUCUCUAGCUGGUCUGAGAGGAUGACCAGCCACACUGGAACUGAGACACGGUCCAGACUCCUACGGGAGGCAGCAGUGGGGAAUAUUGCACAAUGGGGGGAACCCUGAUGCAGCCAUGCCGCGUGAAUGAAGAAGGCCUUCGGGUUGUAAAGUUCUUUCAGUGACGAGGAAGGCGAUUGUUUUAAUAGAGCAGUCGAUUGACGUUAAUCACAGAAGAAGCACCGGCUAACUCCGUGCCAGCAGCCGCGGUAAU
Molecule: ribosomal RNA, 499 nt
Filed under: uncultured bacterium
Lineage: Bacteria
Description: bacterial SSU rRNA
Rfam family: Bacterial small subunit ribosomal RNA
Source: RNAcentral